AAUGGAAGCCAAAAUAUCUUUGGAGGAGACAUGGAGGAACUCUUUUAUAAAAUUCUCAAUGCCUCAUGUAAAUCCUUCCUGUUUUGUUUAUUUAUGUGUUAAAGCUGAGCUAUAACAUGACAGUGCCAAUUAUUAAAGACAAAUAGGGAAGCCAUUGGGUCAUAGUAUCCACGUUUGUGACAGUUAUAAAACUCUUUUGAGACUAGAGAUGGAAAUUGAGCUGAAAGGUCCUUUAAAAAAUCAAAAAUUGGUCUAAUACUCUGCCAGAUAACUGAGUUUCCUAUACUUACCUGUUCAUGAGCUAAGAUACUGCUGAACGAGAUGAGACUGCUGAAACUGACUCCAUCACAGCUCUGCC
RNAcentral lists this long non-coding RNA (358 nucleotides) under Bos taurus (domestic cattle). RNAcentral describes it as "long non-coding RNA NONBTAT007362". Lineage: Eukaryota; Metazoa; Chordata; Mammalia; Artiodactyla; Bovidae. The record is from RNAcentral.